This is a long non-coding RNA of Patella vulgata (common limpet), 1605 nucleotides long. RefSeq lists it as uncharacterized. The transcript has 3 exons. The record is from RefSeq and is a predicted model, not a curated record. NCBI's taxonomy places the organism in Eukaryota, Metazoa, Mollusca, Gastropoda, Patellidae.
UAAUGUCAGUUGUAUUGUCCAGUGAAACCAGUUAAUAUAUUGUACAUUUAUUACAAUGUAAAUAUAUUUCAGAUAUAAUGUAGAUCUAUAUUGUAUGUUUUUAUUACAGAGUAAAUAUAGUAAAGAACCUACUGGUAAUAUGAUAUGGAUGUCUAUCAAUCUUUAUAAAACUAUGUGACUUUAGGACCACUGGAAAGAACACCUAUGAAUUUCCACCAUGUAAUCUAUGAAGGCUGAUGUUUAGUAGGCACAAUGACAAGUGCACCGAUAAUUGCUACAAUGGUUUUAACAGUGAAGUGAUUGACAUAUCUGUUCAUGAUGUGACUGCAUGAAAACUCUACAGAGAUUUAACAUGACACAAUCAGAAACGGAACGGCAUGGGAUUCAACACAAUGCUUCAGUCAUUUUGAGACUAGUAUAUGCUAAGAUGUUUGCCAGAUGGUCGGAGAAAAAAUAUAAACAGUUUUGGAUAAUAUCAAAUUUUUCAUGGCUUGGUAUAUGCUAAAGUAAUGCUUACUUGCUGUGUUGGCUGUAUAUCAUCUGCAGAGGAUACCAAAGGUUGACAAAUUUUCAAUUUGCCAUAUCUUUGUAAAUACUGAAUGAAAUUUAACCAUUUUUUACACUGAUAUAAUUCCUUUUAGAGAUUCAACUUUCAUAAUUAUAGUUUGCAAGGGAUUCAAAAUCCCUCAAAUAACAUUAACAGUGGUACUAAACAAUGUUUGGACUGACAUUCGUUUUGGACAUUCAACUUUUAGUUUGCAAGGGAUCAUAAAUCUCUCUAAUGAUGAUCAGUGGCUUGUCAAAUAUCCUUACGUUUACUGAAAUAGGCCUAAGCAACAUCAACUUACUUGAAAUGCAUCACCUGUGGUCCAGCUAUAACCAUCUUUCUCUCCCUGUCGACUUCUACUUCCACUUUACCUUCACCAGGCGAUGGCGGUCUUAAUCUCCCGAUUACUUCAAUAUUCAUGGUUACGGCUUAACAGGAUCACCAAUCAUUCAAUUCAAAUUCUAUAAUUGUGAAAAUUAUUGUUUAUAAUCAAACUAUAAGUUAUAUGAAAUAGGAAUUUAAGAUGGGCAUUUUUGUACUAUAUGAGCAAAAUUUUGCCGUGACAAACUAUAGCACUCUACCUAUAUAGCCUACUCUUACUUCAAUUUCCAACUAUCAUGGGCAACAUUACAAACUCAGGCUGACAACAGUAUUUGUGCCAUGUACAAUUUUGGCUUAUCGUGGUAAAUAUAUCAGAUAGGCCUACCGGUAAUAAUAAUAAUAAUAAUAAUACUACUAAUAAUAAUAAUAAUAAUGUAUAUUUAUAAAGCGCAUAUAUCCAUCCAUAAAUGCAUGCUCAAAGCGCUAACAUAUGUACACUAUUCAACUGUCUUGGUCAUUAAUGGUCAUAUUCACGUUGAAAUAGAUACGUUUUUAAUCUAAUUUUAAACGAUUCCAUUGAAGGAGCAGAUUUAACACUCGGUGGCAGGGGAUUCCAGAGAUUAGGAGCACUGAGUUUGAAUGAUUUGUAUCCGAAUGUUUGAAGGUUAUAUUUAGGAACCACAAGCGGUAUAUAAUUUCUUAAUGCCACUUAAAAAACUAAAAAAAACUUAAUAGAU